GGAACUUUGAGAGAAAAAGAUCAUUUCUCACAAGGUUCUAUCUUAUCAAACAAGAAAAAUCAUUUCUCAAGACGAUUUUUAAAAUCUACAGAUACCUGCGCUAGUUACUAACUUUUUAGCCUAGCAACGCAUAUUCAAUAUCCAGUUUCAUCCGGUAGUGAGACAGACAUGGUGGCACAUAUGUGACCUUUUUCAACCAUAUCAUGUUUAGCAGAACUGAAUGUUUGGUUGAUUUCAUUGUUUCAAUAUACGGUUCAUUUCUUUCAAAACUUUUCAUGCAUGUGGAAUCUUAGCAGAGACCAAGCUGUAUCCAAGCUGUGUCAAAGCCCACUGAUGGUGAUCAAUACCAAUGCCUCGAACUAUUAAUGAUCAAUAUCACUGCCACAAACUACUAGUGUCCAAUACCAAAACACCAAUAAUUUGAGAAAGUUCUAAACAGGGAAAGGGAGCAAACAAAAACUCCAUAUUCAAGAAGUACCCUGAUACAACCAAUGGGCAAUGGUUCAGUAAAGCAUGCAGAGGGCUUCCCAAGUCAUCCACAGUUAGAGGUCAAGAUUUCAAACACUGGGGUAAAAUAAGGAUUAGCAAUGCCAUAAUGUCAUAAUAGAAGUUGCAAUGCUUCAAUGCUCUUGUAAAUACAAGAGCACAAUAAAUAAAUAAAUACAUAAGAAAACCCUGAAAAAUGCCCUUGUAAGUAAUGAAGAAUGAAAAAAAAAAACCUAAUUAUCUAGAUGCUACGAAUGGAGACCUCUGAGAAAAAACCUAAAAAUGCAGUUUCAAAGACAAUACUAGAAACAGAUUUGAAAUUUACCUUGGGGUUUUUUACUGUCUCAUCAACACUUAAGACAAGGCAAGCUGCCUCGGUAGCAGCAUUGAUA
This 878-nucleotide long non-coding RNA is filed under the name Vitis vinifera (wine grape). Its description in RNAcentral is "long non-coding RNA (VVIN_LNC007874)". Lineage: Eukaryota; Viridiplantae; Streptophyta; Magnoliopsida; Vitales; Vitaceae. The record is from RNAcentral.